GCUGGGCAUGAUGGCAUAUGCCUGUAAUCCCAGUGGCUCAGGAGGCUGAGGCAGGAGGAUCAUGAGUUCAAAGCCAGCCUCAGCAACUUAGUUAGGUCCUAAGCAACUUAGCAAGACCCUGUCUCAA
RNAcentral lists this small RNA (127 nucleotides) under Marmota monax (woodchuck). The record is from RNAcentral. Lineage: Eukaryota; Metazoa; Chordata; Mammalia; Rodentia; Sciuridae.